Molecule: ribosomal RNA, 443 nt
Filed under: uncultured bacterium
Lineage: Bacteria
Description: partial 16S ribosomal RNA
Rfam family: Bacterial small subunit ribosomal RNA
Source: RNAcentral
CUACGGGAGGCAGCAGUGGGGAAUAUUGCACAAUGGGCGAAAGCCUGAUGCAGCAACGCCGCGUGAGGGACGACGGCCUUCGGGUUGUAAACCUCUUUUAGCAGGGAAGAAGCGAAAGUGACGGUACCUGCAGAAAAAGCACCGGCUAACUACGUGCCAGCAGCCGCGGUAAUACGUAGGGUGCAAGCGUUGUCCGGAAUUAUUGGGCGUAAAGAGCUCGUAGGCGGUUUGUCGCGUCUGCUGUGAAAAUCCGAGGCUCAACCUCGGACCUGCAGUGGGUACGGGCAAACUAGAGUGCGGUAGGGGAGAUUGGAAUUCCUGGUGUAGCGGUGGAAUGCGCAGAUAUCAGGAGGAACACCAAUGGCGAAGGCAGAUCUCUGGGCCGUACUGACGCUGAGGAGCGAAAGCGUGGGGAGCGAACAGGAUUAGAUACCCCCGUAGUC